RNAcentral lists this ribosomal RNA (468 nucleotides) under uncultured bacterium. Its description in RNAcentral is "partial 16S ribosomal RNA". It matches the Rfam family "Bacterial small subunit ribosomal RNA", at positions 28 to 507 of the family's 1533-position model. The record is from RNAcentral.
GACGAACGCUGGCGGCGUGCUUAACACAUGCAAGUCGAACGGAAAGGCCCUGCUUUUGUGGGGUGCUCGAGUGGCGAACGGGUGAGUAACACGUGAGUAACCUGCCCUUGACUUUGGGAUAACUUCAGGAAACUGGGGCUAAUACCCGAUAGGAGCUCCUGCUGCAUGGUGGGGGGUGGAAAGGUUCGGCGGUUGGGGAUGGACUCGCGGCUUAUCAGCUUGUUGGUGGGGUAGUGGCUUACCAAGGCUUUGACGGGUAGCCGGCCUGAGAGGGUGACCGGCCACAUUGGGACUGAGAUACGGCCCAGACUCCUACGGGAGGCAGCAGUGGGGAAUAUUGCACAAUGGGCGGAAGCCUGAUGCAGCAACGCCGCGUGCGGGAUGACGGCCUUCGGGUUGUAAACCGCUUUCGCCUGUGACGAAGCGUGAGUGACGGUAAUGGGUAAAGAAGCACCGGCUAACUACGUG